UCAGGAUGAACGCUGGCGGCGUGCUUAACACAUGCAAGUCGAGCGGAAAUAUUAAAGCUUGCUUUGAAUAUUUAGCGGCGGACGGGUGAGUAACGUGUGGGUAACCUGCCAUAUACUGUGGAAUAACCAUUUGAAAAGAUGACUAAUACCGCAUGUCGUCACCGAGGGCAUCCCUUGGUGAAAAAAGGAGUAAUCCGGUAUAUGAUGGACCCGCAUCUGAUUAGCUAGUUGGUGAGAUAAUAGCUCACCAAGGCGACGAUCAGUAGCCGACCUGAGAGGGUGAUCGGCCACAUUGGGACUGAGACACGGCCCAAACUCCUACGGGAGGCAGCAGUGGGGAAUAUUGCACAAUGGGCGAAAGCCUGAAUGCAGCAACGCCGCGUGAAGGAAGAAGGGUUUCGGCUCGUAAACUUCUAUCAAUGGGGAAGAAAUAAAUGACGGUACCCAAAUAAGAAGCCCCGGCUAACUACGUGCCAGCAGCAGC
Molecule: ribosomal RNA, 484 nt
Filed under: uncultured bacterium
Lineage: Bacteria
Description: bacterial SSU rRNA
Rfam family: Bacterial small subunit ribosomal RNA
Source: RNAcentral